AGAGUUUGAUCCUGGCUCAGGAUGAACGCUGGCGGCGUGCUUAACACAUGCAAGUCGAACGAUGACUUUUGUGCUUGCACAGAAUGAUUAGUGGCGAACGGGUGAGUAACACGUGAGUAACCUGCCCCUGACUUCGGGAUAAGCCUGGGAAACCGGGUCUAAUACCGGAUACAACGGACCACCGCAUGGCGGUCCGUGGAAAGCUUUAUGCGGUUUUGGAUGGACUCGCGGCCUAUCAGCUAGUUGGUUGGGGUAAUGGCCCACCAAGGCGACGACGGGUAGCCGGCCUGAGAGGGUGAUCGGCCACACUAGGACUGAGACACGGCCCAGACUCCUACGGGAGGCAGCAGUAGGGAAUCUUCCGCAACGGACGAAAGUCUGACGGAGCAACGCCGCGUGAGCGAAGAAGGCCUUCGGGUCGUAAAGCUCUGUUGUCAGGGAAGAACAAGUGCCAUUCGAAUAGGUUGGCACCUUGACGGUACCUGGCCAGAAAGCCACGGCUAACUACGUGCCAGCAGCCGCGGUAAUACGUAGGUGGCAAGCGUUGUCCGGAAUUAUUGGGCGUAAAGCGCGCGCAGGCGGUCCUUUAAGUCUGAUGUGAAAGCCCACGGCUCAACCGUGGAGGGUCAUUGGAAACUGGAGGACUUGAGUGCAGAAGAGAAGAGUGGAAUUCCACGUGUAGCGGUGAAAUGCGUAGAGAUGUGGAGGAACACCAGUGGCGAAGGCGACUCUUUGGUCUGUAACUGACGCUGAGGCGCGAAAGCGUGGGGAGCAAACAGGAUUAGAUACCCUGGUAGUCCAUGCCGUAAACGUUGGGCACUAGGUGUGGGGGACAUUCCACGUUUUCCGCGCCGUAGCUAACGCAUUAAGUGCCCCGCCUGGGGAGUACGGCCGCAAGGCUAAAACUCAAAGGAAUUGACGGGGGCCCGCACAAGCGGCGGAGCAUGCGGAUUAAUUCGAUGCAACGCGAAGAACCUUACCAAGGCUUGACAUGAACCGGAAAGGCAUGGAAACAGGUCCCCCACUUGUGGCCGGUUUACAGGUGGUGCAUGGUUGUCGUCAGCUCGUGUCGUGAGAUGUUGGGUUAAGUCCCGCAACGAGCGCAACCCUCGUUCUAUGUUGCCAGCGGGUUAUGCCGGGGACUCAUAGGAGACUGCCGGGGUCAACUCGGAGGAAGGUGGGGACGACGUCAAAUCAUCAUGCCCCUUAUGUCUUGGGCUUCACGCAUGCUACAAUGGCCGGUACAAAGGGUUGCGAUACUGUGAGGUGGAGCUAAUCCCAAAAAGCCGGUCUCAGUUCGGAUUGAGGUCUGCAACUCGACCUCAUGAAGUUGGAGUCGCUAGUAAUCGCAGAUCAGCAACGCUGCGGUGAAUACGUUCCCGGGCCUUGCACUCACCGCCCGUCA
This 1405-nucleotide ribosomal RNA is filed under the name uncultured bacterium. Its description in RNAcentral is "bacterial SSU rRNA". It matches the Rfam family "Bacterial small subunit ribosomal RNA". The record is from RNAcentral.